GACGAACGCUGGCGGCGUGCCUAAUACAUGCAAGUAGAACGCUGAAGAGAGGAGCUUGCUCUUCUUGGAUGAGUUGCGAACGGGUGAGUAACGCGUAGGUAACCCGCCUUGUAGCGGGGGAUAACUAUUGGAAACGAUAGCUAAUACCGCAUAACAAUGGAUGACCCAUGUCAUUUAUUUGAAAGGGGCAAAUGCUCCACUACAAGAUGGACCUGCGUUGUAUUAGCUAGUAGGUGAGGUAACGGCUCACCUAGGCGACGAUACAUAGCCGACCUGAGAGGGUGAUCGGCCACACUGGGACUGAGACACGGCCCAGACUCCUACGGGAGGCAGCAGUAGGGAAUCUUCGGCAAUGGGGGCAACCCUGACCGAGCAACGCCGCGUGAGUGAAGAAGGUUUUCGGAUCGUAAAGCUCUGUUGUAAGUCAAGAACGAGUGUGAGAGUGGAAAGUUCACACUGUGACGGUAGCUUACCUGAAAGGGACGGCUAACUACGUGCCAGCAGCCGCGGUAAUACGUAGGUCCCGAGCGUUGUCCGGAUUUAUUGGGCGUAAAGCGAGCGCAGGCGGUUUGAUAAGUCUGAAGUUAAAGGCUGUGGCUCAACCAUAGUUCGCUUUGGAAACUGUCAAACUUGAGUGCAGAAGGGGAGAGUGGAAUUCCAUGUGUAGCGGUGAAAUGCGUAGAUAUAUGGAGGGACACCGGUGGCGAAAGCGGCUCUCUGGUCUGUAACUGACGCUGAGGCUCGAAAGCGUGGGGAGCGAACAGGAUUAGAUACCCUGGUAGUCCACGCCGUAAACGAUGAGUGCUAGGUGUUGGAUCCUUUCCGGGAUUCAGUGCCGCAGCUAACGCAUUAAGCACUCCGCCUGGGGAGUACGACCGCAAGGUUGAAACUCAAAGGAAUUGACGGGGGCCCGCACAAGCGGUGGAGCAUGUGGUUUAAUUCGAAGCAACGCGAAGAACCUUACCAGGUCUUGACAUCCCGAUGCUAUUUCUAGAGAUAGAAAGUUACUUCGGUACAUCGGUGACAGGUGGUGCAUGGUUGUCGUCAGCUCGUGUCGUGAGAUGUUGGGUUAAGUCCCGCAACGAGCGCAACCCCUAUUGUUAGUUGCCAUCAUUCAGUUGGGCACUCUAGCGAGACUGCCGGUAAUAAACCGGAGGAAGGUGGGGAUGACGUCAAAUCAUCAUGCCCCUUAUGACCUGGGCUACACACGUGCUACAAUGGUUGGUACAACGAGUUGCGAGUCGGUGACGGCAAGCUAAUCUCUUAAAGCCAAUCUCAGUUCGGAUUGUAGGCUGCGACUCGCCUACAUGAAGUCGGAAUCGCUAGUAAUCGCGGAUCAGCACGCCGCGGUGAAUACGUUCCCGGGCCU
RNAcentral lists this ribosomal RNA (1369 nucleotides) under uncultured bacterium. Its description in RNAcentral is "bacterial SSU rRNA". It matches the Rfam family "Bacterial small subunit ribosomal RNA", at positions 28 to 1381 of the family's 1533-position model. The record is from RNAcentral.